UACGUAGGGGGCUAGCGUUAUCCGGAAUUACUGGGCGUAAAGGGUGCGUAGGUGGUUUCUUAAGUCAGAGGUGAAAGGCUACGGCUCAACCGUAGUAAGCCUUUGAAACUGGGGAACUUGAGUGCAGGAGAGGAGAGUGGAAUUCCUAGUGUAGCAGUGAAAUGCGUAGAUAUUAGGAGGAACACCAGUUGCGAAGGCGGCUCUCUGGACUGUAACUGACACUGAGGCACGAAAGCGUGGGGAGCAAACAGG
RNAcentral lists this ribosomal RNA (252 nucleotides) under uncultured bacterium. RNAcentral's name for it is "partial 16S ribosomal RNA". It matches the Rfam family "Bacterial small subunit ribosomal RNA", at positions 524 to 776 of the family's 1533-position model. The record is from RNAcentral.